Long non-coding RNA from Priapulus caudatus, 106 nucleotides. RefSeq lists it as uncharacterized. The record is from RefSeq and is a predicted model, not a curated record. The transcript is spliced from 3 exons. Lineage: Eukaryota; Metazoa; Priapulida; Priapulimorpha; Priapulimorphida; Priapulidae.
AUAUAUAAGAUUAUAUAUCUACUUCUAAUAUAUAAUAUGGAAUUGUUACGAAAACAAGUGUUCGGCAUCAUAUUGGCAUAAAAUGUAUCGAGAAAGGCAAAAUAUU